CCUACGGGUGGCAGCAGUGGGGAAUAUUGGACAAUGGGGGCAACCCUGAUCCAGCCAUGCCGCGUGUGUGAAGAAGGCCCUCGGGUUGUAAAGCACUUUCAGUGAGGAAGAACGCCUGGUGGUUAAUACCCAUCAGGAAAGACAUCACUCACAGAAGAAGCACCGGCUAACUCCGUGCCAGCAGCCGCGGUAAUACGGAGGGUGCGAGCGUUAAUCGGAAUUACUGGGCGUAAAGCGCGCGUAGGUGGCUUGAUAAGCCGGUUGUGAAAGCCCCGGGCUCAACCUGGGAACGGCAUCCGGAACUGUCAAGCUAGAGUGCAGGAGAGGAAGGUAGAAUUCCCGGUGUAGCGGUGAAAUGCGUAGAGCUCGGGAGGAAUACCAGUGGCGAAGGCGGCCUUCUGGACUGACACUGACACUGAGGUGCGAAAGCGUGGGUAGCAAACAGGAUUAGAUACCCGAGUAGUC
Molecule: ribosomal RNA, 465 nt
Filed under: Vreelandella stevensii
Lineage: Bacteria; Pseudomonadati; Pseudomonadota; Gammaproteobacteria; Oceanospirillales; Halomonadaceae
Description: partial 16S ribosomal RNA
Rfam family: Bacterial small subunit ribosomal RNA
Source: RNAcentral